Molecule: small nuclear RNA, 190 nt
Filed under: Castor canadensis (American beaver)
Lineage: Eukaryota; Metazoa; Chordata; Mammalia; Rodentia; Castoridae
Description: U2 spliceosomal RNA (ENSCCNG00000023039.1)
Rfam family: U2 spliceosomal RNA
About the family: U2 is a small nuclear RNA (snRNA) component of the spliceosome (involved in pre-mRNA splicing). Complementary binding between U2 snRNA (in an area lying towards the 5' end but 3' to hairpin I) and the branchpoint sequence (BPS) of the intron results the bulging out of an unpaired adenosine, on the BPS, which initiates a nucleophilic attack at the intronic 5' splice site, thus starting the first of two transesterification reactions that mediate splicing.
Source: Rfam by way of RNAcentral
AUUGUUUCUCAGCCUUUUGGCUAAGACCAAGUGUAAUGUCUGUGCUAAUCAGUUUAAUAUCAGAUACAUCCUCAAUCCGAGGACAAUAUAUUAAAUGGAUUUUUGGAACAGGAGAUGGAAUAGGAGCUUGCUCCGUCCACUCCACACACCGACCUGGUAUUGCAGUACCUCCAGGAGUGGUGCACCCCGG